This 46-nucleotide non-coding RNA is filed under the name Schistosoma haematobium. Lineage: Eukaryota; Metazoa; Platyhelminthes; Trematoda; Strigeidida; Schistosomatidae. RNAcentral also lists the same sequence under 1 other name. The record is from RNAcentral.
GCACUGCUGAGGAGUCCCAGAGUUGGACGAAACGGCCGUCCAGUGC